RNAcentral lists this ribosomal RNA (343 nucleotides) under uncultured bacterium. RNAcentral describes it as "bacterial SSU rRNA". It matches the Rfam family "Bacterial small subunit ribosomal RNA", at positions 29 to 369 of the family's 1533-position model. The record is from RNAcentral.
AUGAACGCUGGCGGCGUGCUUAACACAUGCAAGUCGAACGAUUAAAGCUCACUUCGGUGAGUGUAUAGAGUGGCGAACGGGUGAGUAACACGUGGGUAACCUGCCCCUCACACCGGGAUAACUCAGGGAAACUUGAGCUAAUACCGGAUACUCCGGACUGAUCGCAUGGUCGGUCCGGGAAAGUUCCGGCGGUGAGGGAUGGACCCGCGGCCCAUUAGCUAGUUGGUGAGGUAACGGCUCACCAAGGCAACGAUGGGUAGCCGGCCUGAGAGGGUGACCGGCCACACUGGGACUGAGACACGGCCCAGACUCCUACGGGAGGCAGCAGUGGGGAAUAUUGCAC